Molecule: ribosomal RNA, 108 nt
Filed under: Triticum aestivum (bread wheat)
Lineage: Eukaryota; Viridiplantae; Streptophyta; Magnoliopsida; Poales; Poaceae
Source: RNAcentral
GGAUGCGAUAAUACCAGCACUAAAGCACCGGAUCCCAUCAGAACUCCGAAGUUAAGCGUGCUUGGGCGAGGAUGGGUGACCUCCUGGGAAGUCCUCGUGUUGCGUUCC